UGUUUUAUGUGCGCGUUUUUUUUUUCUCCGAGAUGCGACAGCUGGCGACUCUGUUAGGGAACCCCUAACCAAGUCAAUCCUAGAUUUUGUUUGUUUUAUUUUCAUUGGGUGUUUAUUUCUUUAUGUUUUACUUGCUUAUUGCAUUCAUUUCAUUUUAUUGCCUUCCAUAUUCUGGAUAUUGUUGUUGUGCCGGUUGUUGGAUCUUCU
This 207-nucleotide long non-coding RNA is filed under the name Lathyrus oleraceus (garden pea). RNAcentral describes it as "Pisum sativum (pea) long non-coding RNA (PSAT_LNC014880)". The record is from RNAcentral. Lineage: Eukaryota; Viridiplantae; Streptophyta; Magnoliopsida; Fabales; Fabaceae.